This 681-nucleotide ribosomal RNA is filed under the name Hydrozoanthus gracilis. Its description in RNAcentral is "partial 16S ribosomal RNA". It matches the Rfam family "Bacterial large subunit ribosomal RNA", at positions 1783 to 2462 of the family's 2925-position model. The record is from RNAcentral. Lineage: Eukaryota; Metazoa; Cnidaria; Anthozoa; Zoantharia; Hydrozoanthidae.
UGGAACACGGGCCUCGACUGUUUACCAAAAACAUAGCCCUCGGCCAAUAUGAAAAUAGAUGUAUAGAGGGUGAGGCCUGCCCAAUGGUUGUAUCUAAAAGCGGUUGAUAAAAGUCGACCUCGUAAGGACAAUUGAAUGGCCGCGGUAACACUGACCGUGAUAAUGUAGCGUAAUCAAUAGCCAAUUAAUUGUUGGCCAGUAUGAAUGGCGCCACGAAGGCCCCACUGUCUUAAGGAAAUUCCCAGUGAAAUUGAAUUCGUAGUGAAGAUGCUACGUCCAAUUUGUUAGACGAAAAGACCCCGUUGAGCUUUACUGGGGCACUUACACGGCCCCGGCCUUCCAAACUAGGCUUACUAUGCCUAGAGGUCGGCCGAAUUUAAAUGGGUGGUUUAGAUUAUGUGGCAGCCCCCCGUCGGGGCAGAUGAAACCCCACUCCCCCAUGUCAAAGGGGCUAACCCCCCCCUUGGGGGGGGACAGUGUAAGUAGGACAGUUUGGUUGGGGCGACCGCCUUUUAAAGAGUAACGAAGGUGCGCUUAAGGUGCGCAAAUAAUGACUGAAGCCUGACUGCGAGGGGGACACCCCGAGCAGACACCCCCAAGCCUGCCCUAAGGGCGGCGGUGGGGUGGGCCAUAGUGACCCGUUAAUUUAGAGUGGAAUAGUUAACGAUCAACGAAUAAAAG